RNAcentral lists this ribosomal RNA (449 nucleotides) under uncultured bacterium. RNAcentral describes it as "bacterial SSU rRNA". It matches the Rfam family "Bacterial small subunit ribosomal RNA", at positions 29 to 521 of the family's 1533-position model. The record is from RNAcentral.
AACGAACGCUGGCGGCAGGCUUAACACAUGCAAGUCGAACGGGUGUCGCAAGACAUCAGUGGCAGACGGGUGAGUAACACGUGGGAACCUUCCUAGGGGUACGGAACAACUCAGGGAAACUUGAGCUAAUACCGUAUACGUCCGUAAGGAGAAAGAUUCAUCGCCCCUAGACGGGCCCGCGUCGGAUUAGGUAGUUGGUGGGGUAACGGCCUACCAAGCCUACGAUCCGUAGCUGAUCUGAGAGGANGAUCAGCCACACUGGGACUGAGACACGGCCCAGACUCCUACGGGAGGCAGCAGUGGGGAAUCUUGGACAAUGGGCGCAAGCCUGAUCCAGCCAUGCCGCGUGAGUGAAGAAGGCCUUAGGGUUGUAAAGCUCUUUUACCAGGGACGAUAAUGACGGUACCUGGAGAAUAAGCCCCGGCAAACUUCGUGCCAGCAGCCGCAGU